This 501-nucleotide ribosomal RNA is filed under the name uncultured Actinomycetes bacterium. RNAcentral's name for it is "bacterial SSU rRNA". It matches the Rfam family "Bacterial small subunit ribosomal RNA", at positions 8 to 522 of the family's 1533-position model. Lineage: Bacteria; Bacillati; Actinomycetota; Actinomycetes. The record is from RNAcentral.
AGAGUUUGAUCCUGGCUCAGGACGAACGCUGGCGGCGUGCUUAACACAUGCAAGUCGAGCGGUAAGGCCCUUUUGGGGGUACACGAGCGGCGAACGGGUGAGUAACACGUGGGUGACCUGCCCCUUACUCUGGGAUAAGCCUGGGAAACUGGGUCUAAUACCGGAUAGGACUUCAUGCUGCAUGGUGUGGGGUUGAAAGUUUUUUCGGUGGGGGAUGGGCCCGCGGCCUAUCAGCUUGUUGGUGGGGUGAUGGCCUACCAAGGCUUCGACGGGUAGCCGGCCUGAGAGGGCGUCCGGCCACACUGGGACUGAGACACGGCCCAGACUCCUACGGGAGGCAGCAGUGGGGAAUAUUGCGCAAUGGGCGGAAGCCUGACGCAGCGACGCCGCGUGGGGGAUGACGGCCUUCGGGUUGUAAACCUCUUUCGGCCUCGACGAAGCCUUCGGGUGACGGUAGGGGUGGAAGAAGCACCGGCCAACUACGUGCCAGCAGCCGCGGUA